GAUGAACGCUGGCGGCGUGCCUAAUACAUGCAAGUCGAGCGAACGGACGAGAAGCUUGCUUCUCUGAUGUUAGCGGCGGACGGGUGAGUAACACGUGGAUAACCUACCUAUAAGACUGGGAUAACUUCGGGAAACCGGAGCUAAUACCGGAUAAUAUUUUGAACCGCAUGGUUCAAAAGUGAAAGACGGUCUUGCUGUCACUUAUAGAUGGAUCCGCGCUGCAUUAGCUAGUUGGUAAGGUAACGGCUUACCAAGGCAACGAUGCAUAGCCGACCUGAGAGGGUGAUCGGCCACACUGGAACUGAGACACGGUCCAGACUCCUACGGGAGGCAGCAGUAGGGAAUCUUCCGCAAUGGGCGAAAGCCUGACGGAGCAACGCCGCGUGAGUGAUGAAGGUCUUCGGAUCGUAAAACUCUGUUAUUGGGGAAGAACAUAUGUGUAAGUAACUGUGCACAUCUUGACGGUACCUAAUCAGAAAGCCACGGCUAACUACGU
This 496-nucleotide ribosomal RNA is filed under the name uncultured bacterium. RNAcentral describes it as "partial 16S ribosomal RNA". It matches the Rfam family "Bacterial small subunit ribosomal RNA", at positions 28 to 506 of the family's 1533-position model. The record is from RNAcentral.